Molecule: ribosomal RNA, 473 nt
Filed under: uncultured bacterium
Lineage: Bacteria
Description: bacterial SSU rRNA
Rfam family: Bacterial small subunit ribosomal RNA
Source: RNAcentral
ACUCCUACGGGAGGCAGCAGUGGGGAAUAUUGCACAAUGGGGGAAACCUUGAUGCAGCCAUGCCGCGUGUGUGAAGAAGGCCUUCGGGUUGUAAAGCACUUUCAGUAGGGAGGAAGGUAGUGUAGUUAACACCUGCACUAUUUGACGUUACCUACAGAAGAAGCACCGGCUAACUCCGUGCCAGCAGCCGCGGUAAUACGGAGGGUGCGAGCGUUAAUCGGAAUUACUGGGCGUAAAGCGCAUGCAGGCGGCCUGUUAAGUCAGAUGUGAAAGCCCGGGGCUUAACCUCGGAAUUGCAUUUGAAACUGGCAGGCUAGAGUCUUGUAGAGGGGGGUAGAAUUUCAGGUGUAGCGGUGAAAUGCGUAGAGAUCUGAAGGAAUACCAGUGGCGAAGGCGGCCCCCUGGACAAAGACUGACGCUCAGAUGCGAAAGCGUGGGGAGCAAACAGGAUUAGAUACCCUGGUAGCACAGAG